UUCAGCGUGCCGGAGGCGGCGCCCUUCACCGCGGUGCUCAAGUUCGCCGCCGAGGAGUUCAAGGUUCAGCGUGCAGGUCUUGCUGUGCGUCAAGCGCCUGGUCUACACCAACGACGCAGGGGAGGUCGUCAAGGGCGUCUGCUCCAAUUUCCUCUGUAUCUGGUCUGAAAUCAAGUCAAAUUAACUUCUAAGCAUUUAGGUUUAGCAAGUCAAAUUAUCAGUUUCAUACAUUCUUUGAUUCCAGAGAUGCCGUCGUAUGUCGUGUACAAGAGUAAGGUUUCCGGAGU
Long non-coding RNA from Triticum aestivum (bread wheat), 287 nucleotides. RefSeq lists it as uncharacterized. Lineage: Eukaryota; Viridiplantae; Streptophyta; Magnoliopsida; Poales; Poaceae. The record is from RefSeq and is a predicted model, not a curated record. The transcript has 3 exons.